Molecule: long non-coding RNA, 448 nt
Filed under: Homo sapiens (human)
Lineage: Eukaryota; Metazoa; Chordata; Mammalia; Primates; Hominidae
Description: non-protein coding LINC00899:10
Source: RNAcentral
CUGGGUUUCAGUCGCGGCUCCGAGGUUGGCAACAAAGAGGGAAAGAAGGAGGAAAAGCAGGCCGGGGAGGGGAGGAAGAGAACCGCGCGGAGGCCGCGGCGCCGAGAGCCCCAGAACUUCCAAUUCUACCCAGAAGCUUUUUUCGUCGUGUUUUUCUCUUAGACAUGAUCCUCUCUGAGGUUGGUCCUGGGCUUCCAUACGUGAUUCAUGGAAGAGGUCUCAGCCCCAAGAGCCCCUGAGGGUACUGUCCACUCCCCCUGGAAACUUCCAGAACCUGACGUGGGGCUGAAGACAUAGAGGUAAUGGGGAUGGGCUGGUGGGGCGCUGGCUGGGACAAUGUGUGGAGCCCUUGUUUUCAGAGCUACAGAUGCUUGUCAGCUGACAGUUCGUUUCCAGCAUCCACAGUGGACCUCCUUUGGGGGAGCAUUUACCUGCCAAUGAACCCCAA